Molecule: unclassified non-coding RNA, 375 nt
Filed under: uncultured Actinomycetes bacterium
Lineage: Bacteria; Bacillati; Actinomycetota; Actinomycetes
Description: uncultured actinobacterium contains 16S-23S intergenic spacer region
Source: RNAcentral
UCCGGUUUGUCGCCGGCAGUCCCCCUAGAGUUCCCACCAUAACGUGCUGGCAACUAGGGACAGGGGUUGCGCUCGUUGCGCCACUUAAGGCAACACUUCACGGCACGAGCUGACGACAGCCAUGCACCACCUGUGCGGGCUCCGAGGAGCGCCGUAUUUCUACGGUUUCACCCCGCAUGUCAAGCCCAGGUAAGGUUCUUCGCGUUGCUUCGAAUUAAGCCACAUGCUCCGCCGCUUGUGCGGGCCCCCGUCAAUUCCUUUGAGUUUUAGCCUUGCGGCCGUACUCCCCAGGCGGGGUGCUUAAUGCGUUAGCUUCGGCACGGACGGGGUCGAUUCCGUCUACAGCAAGUGAGCACCGUUUACAGCUAGGACUAC